UGCUGCAAGGUGCCUACUGACAAAGCUGGAGGGAGCCUGUCUGGAAGGGAAAGUUCCCAUGUUAUUACUGUCCUGAAGGCUUUGCUGUGGAUUAGUGACCAUGCAUUCAACAAAUCCUUUAAAUCUUUGUCUGAAGAGAAACUGAAGAAUAUAGACAAAGAAACGUACAGCAUACAGAAAUACCUAAGGUAAAGGAGCUCUACAGAGUUGUUCUAGACUGUUAAUCAGAUGAGCCCUUAUCUGCAUUUAUAUGUUGCUUCUGAAAGAAAAAAAAACUAUGGAUUUGUGAAGCUUAGUGAAACAGUUA
Gallus gallus (chicken) is the source of this 307-nucleotide long non-coding RNA. The record is from Ensembl. Lineage: Eukaryota; Metazoa; Chordata; Aves; Galliformes; Phasianidae.